This is a long non-coding RNA of Hermetia illucens (black soldier fly), 533 nucleotides long. RefSeq lists it as uncharacterized. The record is from RefSeq and is a predicted model, not a curated record. NCBI's taxonomy places the organism in Eukaryota, Metazoa, Arthropoda, Insecta, Diptera, Stratiomyidae. The transcript has 3 exons.
CAGUUCCUUGCAAAAUUCCUAGAUUGCCUACCGUAGUAACCUCGCUGAUAUAUUCAAAUUUCCUUCAAAUCCUAUUCAACAUUCAUCAAAAAAUAAUCCAAUGAAGUGGUUCUGCAUACACAGGGAUCUGAAUACAGUUUCUGUGUUUAAACCGAUUGUAACUGGAGGACUUUCGAAAGUAACUGAAAGUUGCUGUUCCGAGUUUCCAAUGUUAAACGUGCAACCCCCGAUUACUAAUGGAAGUCUGAAGAAAAAAGUCUGCAAGGAGAACACAUUGUGUGUGUGUACGAAGCAACCAAAAUGGUAGUCGACAAAAUCGUAAAAUUGUUGUCCCUGGGGAGAAUUCAAUAUGCCCGAGGAAAAUAUGGCAUUGAAAUGAGAAUUUCUGGUUUUCCAAUAUGUUCCCGACAAACUUUUAAAAGCGGAGCAAUGGAAGCCUUCAUAAAUAAGUAGCGCUCGAUCCUGUCACUUGGAAUACAACUUUAUCGAUUUCUAAUAACUAUCAAGAGACAAAUUUAUUUUUAACGUUGGGG